CAUGCAAUUACGCAGCGGCCGUGUGCCGGCUGCGUGGCGAACGGCUGAGUGAACACGUGGGUGACCACCCCCGGAGUGGGGGAUACCCCGAUCGAAAGACGGGACAAUCCCGCAUACKCUCUACGGAGGAAAGCCGCAACGGUCGCCACUUGACGGGCCUGCGGCCCAUCAGGUAGUUGGUGUGGUAACGGCGCACCAAGCCAGUGACGGGUACCCGGUCUGAGAGGACGGCCGGGCAGACUGGGACUGCGACACGGCCCAGACUCCUACGGGAGGCAGCASCAAGGAAUUUUCCCCAAUGGGCGCAAGCCUGAAGGAGCAACGCCGCGUGGAGGACGACGGCCUUCGGGUUGUAAACUCCUUUCGGGUGGGACGAGCAUGACGGUACCACCAUAAGCAGCCCCGGCUAACUCUGUGCCAGCAGCCGCGGUAAGACAGAGGGGGCAAGCGUUGUCCGGAGUUACUGGGCGUAAAGGGCGCGGAGGCGGCCUGCUGCGUC
This 499-nucleotide ribosomal RNA is filed under the name uncultured bacterium. RNAcentral's name for it is "bacterial SSU rRNA". It matches the Rfam family "Bacterial small subunit ribosomal RNA", at positions 54 to 589 of the family's 1533-position model. The record is from RNAcentral.